RNAcentral lists this ribosomal RNA (229 nucleotides) under uncultured bacterium. RNAcentral describes it as "partial 16S ribosomal RNA". It matches the Rfam family "Bacterial small subunit ribosomal RNA", at positions 29 to 277 of the family's 1533-position model. The record is from RNAcentral.
AGCGAACGCUGGCGGCAUGCUUAACACAUGCAAGUCGCACGGGGCGCUUUCGGGCAUCCAGUGGCGGACGGGUGAGUAUCGCGUAGGGAUUUGUCGUUGGGUGGGGACAACCUUGGGAAACUAGGGCGUAAUACCGCAUGACGCCUGUGGGCCAAAGCUCGUGAGGGCGCCUGACGAGGAGCCUGCGUCCGAUUAGGUAGUUGGUUGGGUGAUGGCUGACCAAGCCUGC